This 301-nucleotide ribosomal RNA is filed under the name uncultured bacterium. Its description in RNAcentral is "partial 16S ribosomal RNA". It matches the Rfam family "Bacterial small subunit ribosomal RNA", at positions 509 to 808 of the family's 1533-position model. The record is from RNAcentral.
CAGCCGCGCGGUAACACAGAGGGUGCGAGCGUUAAUCGGAUUUACUGGGCGUAAAGCGUGCGUAGGCGGCUUUUUAAGUCGGAUGUGAAAUCCCUGAGCUUAACUUAGGAAUUGCAUUCGAUACUGGGAAGCUAGAGUAUGGGAGAGGAUGGUAGAAUUCCAGGUGUAGCGGUGAAAUGCGUAGAGAUCUGGAGGAAUACCGAUGGCGAAGGCAGCCAUCUGGCCUAAUACUGACGCUGAGGUACGAAAGCAUGGGGAGCAAACAGGAUUAGAUACCCCCGUAGUCCCUGUCUCUUAUACA